UACGGGAGGCAGCAGUGGGGAAUAUUGCACAAUGGGCGAAAGCCUGAUGCAGCUAUGCCGCGUGUAUGAAGAAGGCCUUAAGGUUGUAAAGUACUUUCAUCGGGGAGGAAAAACAAAACUAAUAAUUUUAUUUCUUGACGUUACCCGAAAAAGAAGCACCGGCUAACUCCGUGCCAGCAGCCGCGGUAAUACGGAGGGUGCUAGCGUUAAUCAGAAUUACUGGGCGUAAAGAGCACGUAGGUGGUUUUUUUAAGUCAGAUGUGAAAUCCCUGGGCUUAACCUAGGAACUGCAUUUUGAAACUGAAAUACUAGAGUAUCGUAGAGGGAGGUAGAAUUCUAGGUGUAGCGGUGAAAUGCGUAGAUAUCUGGAGGAAUACCUGUGGCGAAAGCGGCCUCCUAAACGAAUACUGACACUGAGGUGCGAAAGCGUGGGGAGCAAACAGGGAUUAGAUACCCGU
RNAcentral lists this ribosomal RNA (458 nucleotides) under uncultured bacterium. RNAcentral describes it as "bacterial SSU rRNA". It matches the Rfam family "Bacterial small subunit ribosomal RNA", at positions 340 to 789 of the family's 1533-position model. The record is from RNAcentral.